This 602-nucleotide ribosomal RNA is filed under the name Streptomyces albidoflavus. RNAcentral's name for it is "bacterial LSU rRNA". It matches the Rfam family "Bacterial large subunit ribosomal RNA", at positions 2330 to 2925 of the family's 2925-position model. Lineage: Bacteria; Bacillati; Actinomycetota; Actinomycetes; Kitasatosporales; Streptomycetaceae. The record is from RNAcentral.
GUUGGUAAUCAGGUGUUGAGUGUAAGUGCACAAGGGAGCUUGACUGUGAGACCGACGGGUCGAGCAGGGACGAAAGUCGGGACUAGUGAUCCGGCGGUGGCUUGUGGAAGCGCCGUCGCUCAACGGAUAAAAGGUACCCCGGGGAUAACAGGCUGAUCUUCCCCAAGAGUCCAUAUCGACGGGAUGGUUUGGCACCUCGAUGUCGGCUCGUCGCAUCCUGGGGCUGGAGUCGGUCCCAAGGGUUGGGCUGUUCGCCCAUUAAAGCGGUACGCGAGCUGGGUUUAGAACGUCGUGAGACAGUUCGGUCCCUAUCCGCUGUGCGCGUAGGAAUAUUGAGAAGGGCUGUCCCUAGUACGAGAGGACCGGGACGGACGAACCUCUGGUGUGCCAGUUGUUCUGCCAAGGGCAUGGCUGGUUGGCUACGUUCGGGAGGGAUAACCGCUGAAAGCAUCUAAGCGGGAAGCCUGCUUCGAGAUGAGUAUUCCCACCUCCUUGAGAGGGUAAGGCUCCCAGUAGACGACUGGGUUGAUAGGCCGGAUAUGGAAGCCCUGUAAGGGGUGGAGUUGACCGGUACUAAUAGGCCGAGGGCUUGUCCUCAGUUG